GAUGAACGCUGGCGGCGUGCCUAAUACAUGCAAGUCGAGCGAACAGACGAGGAGCUUGCUCCUCUGACGUUAGCGGCGGACGGGUGAGUAACACGUGGAUAACCUACCUAUAAGACUGGGAUAACUUCGGGAAACCGGAGCUAAUACCGGAUAAUAUAUUGAACCGCAUGGUUCAAUAGUGAAAGACGGUUUUGCUGUCACUUAUAGAUGGAUCCGCGCCGCAUUAGCUAGUUGGUAAGGUAACGGCUUACCAAGGCGACGAUGCGUAGCCGACCUGAGAGGGUGAUCGGCCACACUGGAACUGAGACACGGUCCAGACUCCUACGGGAGGCAGCAGUAGGGAAUCUUCCGCAAUGGGCGAAAGCCUGACGGAGCAACGCCGCGUGAGUGAUGAAGGUCUUCGGAUCGUAAAACUCUGUUAUUAGGGAAGAACAAAUGUGUAAGUAACUAUGCACGUCUUGACGGUACCUAAGCAGAAAGCCACGACUAACUACGU
RNAcentral lists this ribosomal RNA (496 nucleotides) under uncultured bacterium. RNAcentral describes it as "partial 16S ribosomal RNA". It matches the Rfam family "Bacterial small subunit ribosomal RNA", at positions 28 to 506 of the family's 1533-position model. The record is from RNAcentral.